Molecule: long non-coding RNA, 263 nt
Organism: Temnothorax curvispinosus
Lineage: Eukaryota; Metazoa; Arthropoda; Insecta; Hymenoptera; Formicidae
Exons: 3
Source: RefSeq, a predicted model, not a curated record
UCGGCGGGCAGUCGGUUUGGAGCAACAGGUGUAACAUCGCCAUGGCGCAGCGCGGACGACGCGACGGCGCGGGCGGUAGUUGCUCCUAGGCGUGUAAAGUUGACUGUCGAGUCUUGAGUGAGCGCCUUGAAACGGCCGCGGAGGGCCGAGGGAGGAGAAGGAGAAGGCCCCGCAGAGGCAUCGAGCGUCAGCGAAGCAAGCACGAGGUCGAUGUUGUAUACAAUUCUAUUAACUGCGCAUCGCAGCGGUAAGUGCAUAUAAUU